Molecule: long non-coding RNA, 764 nt
Filed under: Sus scrofa (pig)
Lineage: Eukaryota; Metazoa; Chordata; Mammalia; Artiodactyla; Suidae
Description: lncRNA (ENSSSCG00060027671.1)
Source: RNAcentral
UACCUUAAAAGAAGAUUUAAGGAUAAACUAAUGCCUUGGUAUAACCUUGAAACUAACUGAUACAAUGAUAAAGAGUGUUCUUACUCCCAAACUGAAAUGUGGUUCCUCAGCCUCAGAACCCAUGGUCUUUGGGAUAAGAGGGAUGUGGUACUCAACUCACCAUCUUCUGAUUUUAGUCUGGCUUCACAAACUAAACCAGAGAGAAUGCACAAUCUGGUAAUCUAAGUGUGGCUGUUGUAUUUCUCCAGGUCUAACAAAUCCAAUUGAUAGCAAUAACUACAAGCAAAGUAUUAAGAAGAAUUCAACAUCUUUCUUGUGACAUGUUAUAGAAUCUCAGACUGUGACAGCUUCGUAGACAGCAAAGCACCAUGAUGUAGCAGCACCUUCGUUUCUUUUCCUUCUGUCGACACAAUGAAACAUCAACUUUUUCCUUGGAAAAGGAGGUGAUAUCAGUUUUUCCUUCUCAUCUUCUAGUUCUAUGUCCUAUGAUUGGUUCCCUGAUAUGCUUGUGGCUUAUUAGUCUUUUUCAUCUGAAUACAUGAGGCUGUCUGGUUAUUAGACCAUACUAUACUGGCAUCAACUCCCAUUCUUAAGGUUAGAAUUACUGAUGAUGUCUCUACUGGCUUAGAAUUGUGGCAAUUUGACCCUCUGGAUAAGUGAUAUAUGGGAAUGGGUUCUCGGUUAUUCUCUAACUAUUCAACAUUCAAAAGAGCAAGAGUUCCAGGAACAUAAAGAGUCAAACACAUCGCCUAUCAAUAUUUUAC